GUCGAUAGCUAUAUGCAGCUCGAGCGAUGGAUUAGAGCUUGCUCCUAUGACGUUAGCGGCGGACGGGUGAGUAACACGUGGGUAACCUGCCCGUAAGACUGGGAUAACUCCGGGAAACCGGGGCUAAUACCGGAUAACAUUUUGCACCGCAUGGUGCAAAAUUCAAAGGCGGCUUCGGCUGUCACUUAUGGAUGGACCCGCGUCGCAUUAGCUAGUUGGUGAGGUAACGGCUCACCAAGGCAACGAUGCGUAGCCGACCUGAGAGGGUGAUCGGCCACACUGGGACUGAGACACGGCCCAGACUCCUACGGGAGGCAGCAGUAGGGAAUCUUCCGCAAUGGACGAAAGUCUGACGGAGCAACGCCGCGUGAGUGAUGAAGGCUUUCGGGUCGUAAAACUCUGUUGUUAGGGAAGAACAAGUGCUAGUUGAAUUGGCUGGCACCUUGACGGUACCUAACCAAAAAGCCACGGCUAACUACGUGCCAGCAGCCGCGGUAAUACGUAGGUGGCAAGCGUUAUCCGGAAUUAUUGGGCGUAAAGCGCGCGCAGGUGGUUUCUUAAUUCUGAUGUGAAAGCCCACGGUUCACCCGUGAAGGGUCAUUGAAAACUGGGAGACUUGAGUGCAGAGAAGGAAAGUGAAAUUCCAUGUGUAGCGUUGAAAUGCGUAAAGAUAUGGAGGAACACCAGUGGCGAAGGCGACUUUCUGGUCUGUACCUGACACUGAGGCGCGAAAGCGUGGGGAAGCAAACAGGGAUAAGAUACCCUGGUAGUCCACGCCGUAAACGAUGAUUGCUAGUUGUUAGAGGGUUUCGCCCUUUAGUGCUGAAGUUAACGCAUUAAGCACUCCGCCUGGGGAGUACGGCCGCAGAGCUGAAACUCAAAGGAAUUGACGGGGGCCGCACAAGCGGUGGAAGCAUGGUGGUUUAAUUCGAGGCAACGCGAAGACUUACAGGGUCUUGGACAUCUUCUGACCAUCUAGAGAUAGGCUUCCCUUCGGAGAGUGACAGUGUGCAUGAUGUCGUCAGCUCGUCGUGAGAUGUGGGUAGUCCGCACGAGGGCAACUUGAUCUAGUGCAUCAUUAGUUGGCCUCUAAGUGAACUUGCUGGACACGAGAGUGGAUAGCCUAUCUAUGCUUAGACUGGCCUACACGGUCCUCACAAUGAAC
RNAcentral lists this ribosomal RNA (1165 nucleotides) under Bacillus sp. (in: firmicutes). Its description in RNAcentral is "bacterial SSU rRNA". It matches the Rfam family "Bacterial small subunit ribosomal RNA", at positions 44 to 1172 of the family's 1533-position model. The record is from RNAcentral. Lineage: Bacteria; Bacillati; Bacillota; Bacilli; Caryophanales; Bacillaceae.